RNAcentral lists this ribosomal RNA (513 nucleotides) under uncultured bacterium. Its description in RNAcentral is "partial 16S ribosomal RNA". It matches the Rfam family "Bacterial small subunit ribosomal RNA", at positions 28 to 507 of the family's 1533-position model. The record is from RNAcentral.
GACGAACGCUGGCGGCGUGCUUAACACAUGCAAGUCGAACGAAAAGAGGGAAAGAGCUUGCUCUUUCCGGAAUUGAGUGGCAAACGGGUGAGUAACACGUAAACAACCUGCCUUCAGGAUGGGGACAACAGACGGAAACGACUGCUAAUACCGAAUAAGUUCCAAGGGCCGCAUGGCCCAUGGAAGAAAAGGUGGCCUCUACCUGUAAGCUAUCGCCUGAAGAGGGGUUUGCGUCUGAUUAGCUGGUUGGAGGGGUAACGGCCCACCAAGGCGACGAUCAGUAGCCGGUCUGAGAGGAUGAACGGCCACACUGGAAUUGAGACACGGCCCAGACUCCUACGGGAGGCAGCAGUGGGGAAUCUUCCGCAAUGGGCGAAAGCCUGACGGAGCAACGCCGCGUGAGUGAUGACGGCCUUCGGGUUGUAAAACUCUGUGAUCCGGGACGAAAAGGCAGAGUGCGAAGAACAAACUGCAUUGACGGUACCGGAAAAGCAAGCCACGGCUAACUACGUG